This 208-nucleotide long non-coding RNA is filed under the name Panax ginseng (ginseng). RNAcentral describes it as "long non-coding RNA (PGIN_LNC009667)". Lineage: Eukaryota; Viridiplantae; Streptophyta; Magnoliopsida; Apiales; Araliaceae. The record is from RNAcentral.
UUGUUUUGCUUCAUCAGUUGGUGAGAUUGGAUUCGAAACUGUUGUACCCUCAUCUUCACUAAACCCAUAAAUCGGAACAUUCCUAGACAAUUUAUCUCUUAUAGGCAUUUCAUCAAAACACACGAUAAGCAACAUCCAGAGGUUUUGUUGGUGUAGCCUGAGUGAUAGUUUGAAUGGGUUUAAGGUCACGAAUUGAGGUGGAAUGGUG